GCCAGACUCCUACGGGAGGCAGCAGUGGGGAAUAUUGCACAAUGGGGGAAACCCUGAUGCAGCGACGCCGCGUGAGUGAUGAAGUAUUUCGGUAUGUAAAGCUCUCUCAGCAGGGAAGAUAAUGACGGUACCUGACUAAGAAGCUCCGGCUAAAUACGUGCCAGCAGCCGCGGUAAUACGUAUGGAGCAAGCGUUAUCCGGAUUUACUGGGUGUAAAGGGAGCGCAGACGGCAGGGCAAGUCUGAUGUGAAAGUCCGGGGCUCAACCCCGGGACUGCAUUGGAAACUGUGUGACUGGAGUGCAGGAGAGGUAAGCGGAAUUCCUGGUGUAGCGGUGAAAUGCGUAGAUAUCAGGAGGAACACCAGUGGCGAAGGCGGCGUACUGGACGGUAACUGACGUUGAGGCUCGAAAGCGUGGGGAGCAAACAGGAUUAGAUACCCCGGUAACA
Molecule: ribosomal RNA, 448 nt
Filed under: uncultured bacterium
Lineage: Bacteria
Description: bacterial SSU rRNA
Rfam family: Bacterial small subunit ribosomal RNA
Source: RNAcentral